Molecule: ribosomal RNA, 422 nt
Filed under: uncultured bacterium
Lineage: Bacteria
Description: bacterial SSU rRNA
Rfam family: Bacterial small subunit ribosomal RNA
Source: RNAcentral
UAAGGAAUAUUGGUCAAUGGACGCAAGUCUGAACCAGCCAUGCCGCGUGGAGGAUUAAGGCCCUCUGGGUUGUAAACUCCUUUUAUCUGGGAAGAAAUGUACUUUUUCUUGAGUACUUGACGGUACCAGAGGAAUAAGCACCGGCUAACUCCGUGCCAGCAGCCGCGGUAAUACGGAGGGUGCAAGCGUUAUCCGGAUUCACUGGGUUUAAAGGGUGCGUAGGUGGGCAGGUAAGUCAGUGGUGAAAUCUCCGGGCUUAACCCGGAAACUGCCGUUGAUACUAUUUGUCUUGAAUAUUGUGGAGGUAAGCGGAAUAUGUCAUGUAGCGGUGAAAUACUUAGAUAUGACAUAGAACACCAAUUGCGAAGGCAGCUUACUACACAAUCAUUGACGCUGAGGCACGAAAGCGUGGGGAUCAAACA